This 560-nucleotide ribosomal RNA is filed under the name uncultured bacterium. RNAcentral's name for it is "bacterial SSU rRNA". It matches the Rfam family "Bacterial small subunit ribosomal RNA", at positions 86 to 643 of the family's 1533-position model. The record is from RNAcentral.
UGGAGGCGACCGGCGGAUGGGUGAGUAACGCGUAUGCAACCUUCCUUCUACUUUGGGAUAGCUCGUUGAAAGACGAAUUAACACCUUAUAAUACAAACAUUCCGCAUGGAUUUGUUUGUUAAAAAUUUAUUGGUAGCAGAUGGGCAUGCGUUCCAUUAGCUUGUUGGUGAGGUAACUGCUCACCAAGGCAUCGAUGGAUAGGGGAACUGAGAGGUUUGUCCCCCACACUGGAACUGAGACACGGUCCAGACUCCUACGGGAGGCAGCAGUGAGGAAUAUUGGUCAAUGGAGGCAACUCUGAACCAGCCAAGUCGCGUGAAGGAUGACAGCCCUACGGGUUGUAAACUUCUUUUUUAAGGGAAUAAAGUGAGCCACGUGUGGUUCAUUGCAUGUACCUUACGAAUAAGGAUCGGCUAACUCCGUGCCAGCAGCCGCGGUAAUACGGAGGAUCCGAGCGUUAUCCGGAUUUAUUGGGUUUAAAGGGUGCGCAGGCGGAAUACUAAGUCGGCGGUGAAAGUUUGCAGCUUAACUGUAAAAUUGCCGUUGAAACUGGUAUUCUU